RNAcentral lists this long non-coding RNA (598 nucleotides) under Felis catus (domestic cat). RNAcentral's name for it is "lncRNA (ENSFCAG00000044998.2)". The record is from RNAcentral. Lineage: Eukaryota; Metazoa; Chordata; Mammalia; Carnivora; Felidae.
CUGUCUUAGGCUCUGAGUGAUACCUCUAUUUUAUUAUAAUAAAUUUCCCUUUAGUCCCUAAACUAGAUUGAAAGCAUAUUUUUCACUUAUUGCCCACGGGUUAUUGAAGACACAGUGAUAAUGAGAAUCAGAAUGAAUUUCAGAGAAAGAGGGAAACCUGCAUAUUUGUUUGAACAUUAGCCUUGAGAAGUGCAAAGACACCUAGUCAUGUCUGAAUGUUUGUAUUAAUUAUUAAAUAACACUGGUACUUUGGAAUAAAGACUGAUCGUACUUCAGGCCACCAUGAAUAUUGCUGAGUGAUUUUCUGAAACUGGAAUUCUUCUUAACUGUGUACACAUAUUUUCGAGCAUAUCCUGGCAUGGAAUCAGUACCUUCAAAAUGGUUCAGAAUGUACAGAUCUCAACACCGGAUGAAGGAUAACAUUACACCAGUAUUAUGAAGAAAUUAUGUUGAAAUCAUAUUGAAAUUCUAUUGAAUGUGAAUAUGGUACUUGUAUACCAUCUCUGAAGGCAUGCAUUGGAAUGCAGACUAUCUAGACACAAAUCUCCUAGGUAUUUAAGCAAAAUAUGAAUACAGAGAAAACAGGAAUUACUCAGAG